GAUGAACGCUGGCGGCGUGCCUAAUACAUGCAAGUCGAGCGAACGGACGAGAAGCUUGCUUCUCUGAUGUUAGCGGCGGACGGGUGAGUAACACGUGGAUAACCUACCUAUAAGACUGGGAUAACUUCGGGAAACCGGAGCUAAUACCGGAUAAUAUUUUGAACCGCAUGGUUCAAAAGUAAAAGACGGUCUUGCUGUCACUUAUAGAUGGAUCCGCGCUGCAUUAGCUAGUUGGUAAGGUAACGGCUUACCAAGGCAACGAUGCAUAGCCGACCUGAGAGGGUGAUCGGCCACACUGGAACUGAGACACGGUCCAGACUCCUACGGGAGGCAGCAGUAGGGAAUCUUCCGCAAUGGGCGAAAGCCUGACGGAGCAACGCCGCGUGAGUGAUGAAGGUCUUCGGAUCGUAAAACUCUGUUAUUAGGGAAGAACAGAUGUGUAAGUAACUGUGCACAUCUUGACGGUACCUAAUCAGAAAGCCACGGCUAACUACGUG
Molecule: ribosomal RNA, 497 nt
Filed under: uncultured bacterium
Lineage: Bacteria
Description: partial 16S ribosomal RNA
Rfam family: Bacterial small subunit ribosomal RNA
Source: RNAcentral